RNAcentral lists this ribosomal RNA (253 nucleotides) under uncultured bacterium. RNAcentral describes it as "partial 16S ribosomal RNA". It matches the Rfam family "Bacterial small subunit ribosomal RNA", at positions 524 to 776 of the family's 1533-position model. The record is from RNAcentral.
UACGUAGGGGGCAAGCGUUAUCCGGAUUUACUGGGUGUAAAGGGAGCGUAGACGGCGAUGCAAGUCUGAGGUGAAAGGCGGGGGCCCAACCCCCGGACUGCUUUGGAAACUGUAUGGCUGGAGUGCAGGAGAGGUAAGUGGAAUUCCUAGUGUAGCGGUGAAAUGCGUAGAUAUUAGGAGGAACACCAGUGGCGAAGGCGGCUUACUGGACUGUAACUGACGUUGAGGCUCGAAAGCGUGGGGAGCAAACAGG